AGUCAAGAGUCUAGGGCGCCAAUUUGGUGAGCAAUUUUCUUUUGCCUUAUUGAAGGCUGAGAUAAUG
This is a regulatory RNA element of Rhizobium sp. Root149, 67 nucleotides long. It matches the Rfam family "S-element". Rfam says of the family: This family represents a group of S-elements from p42d and related plasmids. The S-element has multiple functions and is believed to act as a negative regulator of repC transcription, be required for efficient replication and act as a translational enhancer of repC. Lineage: Bacteria; Pseudomonadati; Pseudomonadota; Alphaproteobacteria; Hyphomicrobiales; Rhizobiaceae. The record is from Rfam.